Molecule: non-coding RNA, 188 nt
Filed under: Bacillus fengqiuensis
Lineage: Bacteria; Bacillati; Bacillota; Bacilli; Caryophanales; Bacillaceae
Description: 6S / SsrS RNA
Rfam family: 6S / SsrS RNA
About the family: E. coli 6S RNA was the first non coding RNA to be sequenced, but its function was unknown until recently. It consists of 184 nucleotides that fold into an extended hairpin structure with a large single-stranded internal bulge. The 6S RNA specifically associates with RNA polymerase holoenzyme containing the sigma70 specificity factor.
Source: RNAcentral
CAUAUCCUGCGGUGUACGUUAUUCCUAUUUGUUUUGAACCGUACUGUUUUAUCGGGAUUCUUAUAUUUGUUGACUGAUGCCAUGCCUCCCUGUAAGCGAGGAUCGCAGGAACGUCAACAUGCGGAAACCCACCUGCGAGAUCGCGGGUUCACAAAACAGAUUGGAAGGACGGCAUAGGCGGGACUUAU